AUGACCAGGUUGAUUUGCUUUGAUUUGCUGAGAGGGGCAAAAGACAGAUAGUGUGGAUAUCAGUUUACAGCCAGAAGAGCUGGAGGCUAAUAAAUGCAUUUUUGAGUUCAAUAAGAAUAUAAAAGCUAUUGAAAAAUAGUGUUGUUAACUCUACCUACAUUUUUGAUUUUUUUGGAAGGUAUGAGGAGGCAAGAGAAGAGGAGAGAAACUACGCAAUAAGCCAGAGGACUUCAGUGACAUGGUCGCCGAGGUAAUGAUUGAACUUAAGAUAUAUAACUGUUUUAAUACCAUUGAUAUGCACAGAUGCAAGAAGUACAUCAGAUAUGGAUCAUGCAAGCAUGACAAAAGUCAGGGGAAGUAUCAGUAAGGCAGAUCCAUGAUGAUGAUAGAUUCUGAUAAAAGGUUAGUGGAUUUACUUAGUUACAUAACAGCAGAUUUUGGUUGUAGUAGUUAUGUAACUUUCACAUUUACUUUUUCAUAU
RNAcentral lists this long non-coding RNA (481 nucleotides) under Brassica napus (rape). Its description in RNAcentral is "long non-coding RNA (BNAP_LNC000903)". The record is from RNAcentral. Lineage: Eukaryota; Viridiplantae; Streptophyta; Magnoliopsida; Brassicales; Brassicaceae.